Notothenia coriiceps (black rockcod) is the source of this 99-nucleotide long non-coding RNA. RefSeq lists it as uncharacterized. The record is from RefSeq and is a predicted model, not a curated record. The transcript has 3 exons. Lineage: Eukaryota; Metazoa; Chordata; Actinopteri; Perciformes; Nototheniidae.
AAAUUAGGUCCAUACAAAAAUUCCUGAAACUCAACAGCUCCAAGACCGAAGCCAUUAUAGUUGGCACCCCACACCAGGUUCGGUCAUCCACCAUCACCA